This 407-nucleotide ribosomal RNA is filed under the name uncultured bacterium. Its description in RNAcentral is "partial 16S ribosomal RNA". It matches the Rfam family "Bacterial small subunit ribosomal RNA", at positions 29 to 526 of the family's 1533-position model. The record is from RNAcentral.
AUUGAACGCUGGCGGCAGGCCUAACACAUGCAAGUCGAGCGGAGCGGCGGAGGGGUGAGUAAUGGCUAGGACUCUGAAAGGUAGUGGGGGAUAACGAUCGGAAAUGGGAGCUAAUACCGCAUACUCUCAGAAGAGCCUGGGUCGGAUUAGGUAGUUGGUGGGGUAGAGGCCUACCAAGGCGAAGAUCCGUAACUGGUCUGAGUGGAUGAUCAGUCACACUGGAACUGAGACACGGUCCAGACGCCGACGGGAGGAAGCAGUGGGGAAUAUUGGACAAUGGGCGAAAGCCUGAUGCAGCCAUGCCGCGUGUGUGAAGAAGGUCUUCGGAUUGUAAAGCACUUUAAGUUGGGAGGCGUUACCAACAGAAUAAGCACCGGCUAACUUCGUGCCAGCAGCCGCGGUAAUAC